CUUGUCGGGUAAGUUCCGACCUGCACGAAUGGUGUAACGAAUUGGGCACUGUCUCAACCAUGACCCCAGCGAAAUUGAAGUGUCGGUGAAGAUGCCGGCUACCCGCAGCAGGACGAAAAGACCCCGUGAACCUUUACUACAACUUAGUAUUGGAUUCUGAUUCUAUCUGUGUAGGAUAGGUGGGAGGCUUUGAAGCCGGGACGCUAGUCUCGGUGGAGCCAACCUUGAAAUACCACCCUUAUAUCAUUAGGAUUCUAAUCCUGACCCGUGAAUCCGGGCAGGAGACAGUGCUAGGUGGGUAGUUUGACUGGGGCGGUCUCCUCCUAAAAAGUAACGGAGGAACUCAAAGGUCUCCUCAGCACGGUCGGUAAUCGUGCGUAGAGCGCAAAGGCAUAAGGAGGCUUAACUGCGAGGUCGACGGACCGAGCAGGUGCGAAAGCAGGACUUAGUGAUCUGGUGGUUCCGUAUGGAAGGGCCAUCACUCAACGGAUAAAAGGUACUCCGGGGAUAACAGGCUUAUCUCCCCCAAGAGUUCACAUCGACGGGGAGGUUUGGCACCUCGAUGUCGGCUCAUCACAUCCUGGAGCUGGAGAAGGUUCCAAGGGUUGGGCUGUUCGCCCAUUAAAGUGGUACGUGAGCUGGGUUUAGAACGUCGUGAGACAGUUCGGUCUCUAUCCGCCGUGGGCGCAAGAUAUUUGAGGGAAUCUGCUUCUAGUACGAGAGGACCGAAGUGGACGAACCUCUGGUGUACCAGUUGUUCCAUCAGGAGCACGGCUGGGUAGCUAUGUUCGGUCCGGAUAAGCGCUGAAAGCAUAUAAGCGCGAAACCGAUCCCAAGAUUAGAUAUCUCUAACAUAAGUUAAUAAGGCUCGUUGUAGACUACGACGUUGAUAGGCUGCAGGUGUAAGUGUAGUAAUACAUUCAGCUGAGCAGUACUAAUAAGCCGAACGGCUUUACCAA
Molecule: ribosomal RNA, 959 nt
Filed under: Fidelibacterota bacterium
Lineage: Bacteria; Pseudomonadati; Fidelibacterota
Description: partial 23S ribosomal RNA
Rfam family: Bacterial large subunit ribosomal RNA
Source: RNAcentral